This 2488-nucleotide long non-coding RNA is filed under the name Homo sapiens (human). RNAcentral's name for it is "HSALNT0340051". The record is from RNAcentral. Lineage: Eukaryota; Metazoa; Chordata; Mammalia; Primates; Hominidae.
CUGCCAGUUGACAGCCAGAUAUAUGAUCUUGGCGUCCAUUCGCCCCGCUGGCCUCAGCCUUCCUGCUGUAAAAAGGGGGUUGACAGCAGGCUCCUUAAGACUGCCUCCACCUCUGCCCCCCGACCUUAGCUCAUCCUCCUCUAUUCCAUUAUCCCUGAAGCAUUUGCCUCCUCAUGUAUCUCCUUCCCAAAAGACAAGAUGGCUGGCAGCACGGAAGUGAAAAGGGAAAGAAAGGCUGUUUAAAAAAAAAAAAUUCUAAAAUGAGUCACCUUUCAAGAAUUUCCCAUUUCCUCAUGCCUGGGUGCUUCCUCGUGUCGCUAAAUCAGUUCUUCCAAUGAAACUUGAUCUAAGAACCUGGUAUUUGUUAUGUGCACUGCUCUUGGAUGAUGUUUACAAUGUGCACACAUCUCUUUUAAGAGCUUGUAGGUAUCAAACGACCUCCAGGUUGUGCAUCAAAAAGACAUCAGCAGCCACAGAGUCAACUUUAGUUGAGCCUGGAGAAAAUCAUACAAAACCGUAGAGUUUUAACUAGGUUUUGUAUCAUCUUUUGAUAAGUUAGGAAAAAUAAUUACAGCUCUCCAAACUUCCCACUUAACAACUCCCAGGACCCUGCAGCACCCUAAAAUCUAGCCAGCUCCAAGAAUCACUCUCUACUCCAUACCCGGAUGAGCCUUGACUCACACUAAUUCCCUCCCUGAGGCUUAAGUCAGGGGGCAGCUGAUGGUUGUGGUCUGUGCUGCUUCCGCCUGGCCUAUUUUUCAUGCUGCCAUUUUGAAUUAGCAUAGGUUUCCUCCGCAACUGAUGCAUCUUCUAACCAGGCUGGGAACACAACACGCGCACACGCGCACACACACACGCACGCACCCACCCCACCCGGCUGCCGGACGCAAGCGUAAGUCAAGGACUUGCAUGCUAGAAUCAGACAGAAAAUCCAGAAAAGCCACGUUAUUUAACAGAACCCUACAAGGUCAGCUUUGAGUCAAAGCAGGUAACAGUUUCCUUCGAUGUUUUCAUGGACAUUUUUAUUCCCAAAUCCGAGUUCUCGCCAAUUCUCUAAAGUUCAAGCGCCCCUCCUGCUUUGCAGACCACAUUUCUCUCGGCCCUCGCGAGUGAGGUCGCCAAAUACUCGACGCCUCAAGAGCGAGCCGAGGAGGCAGAGGCCGACCAAGCCGGCCUCUCGGCAGCCCCGCCCGGCGCCCCGCGGAGAACGCCCGGGUGCGGCUCGAGGGAAGUUGUGUCAAGUCCCACGCGCGGCCCGCGGAGAACCCAGGGGCGGCCCGCGCGCGUCGGCCUAGCGGGGAGGGCUGCUCCGGGACACGGUGCGGCGGCCGCGGGCGAGUUGGACGCGCUGGCAGAGCCGGGCCGAAGGCGGCGGGCGUCUCCGGGCAGCCAUGUUCGCGGCGCCCGCCCGCGCAGCAGGACGGAGCCCUGACAGCAAUGUUUGCUACGGCCUCCCUCUGCAGUCAGCCUAAAGCAAGGAGCUGGAGGUAGAUGAGGCAAAGGUAAAGGAGACCAAAACAGUAUUUUAAAGAAAAAAUCAUUUAUCUUCAAAUAGGCUCCAAACCUAAGAUGGUGUAUACUGUUAGAGGACAAGAACCUGCUUCUAGCCAUCUUUGCGUCUCCAGGACCUGACUUGUGACCAUUCAAUAAGAGUUUGAUAGAUGGACAGACUAAUGAAUAGAUGAAGAUGAUUAGAAGCCAAAAUUUCUGAAUCUUCCUAGCACCCAGAACAUGGCUUAACAUCAAGGAAAUGCUCACUAAAUACUGUCAUAAUGGAAUGAAUGGAACCGAUGCCUAAUUGAAAAUCAUUAGGCUGUAAACCAUUUCCAUGUUCCAAUUUCUUCGUUUAUAGAACAGAAAUGAUAGUGUAACCACCUGAAAAUCCUUCACCUAGACUUCCAAAACCACACCCACCUCAUCAAUGAAGUCUGACUCUCUAGAAAGAAGCAAAUGACUGAAAUCAUGGUCCUGUGCCUUGACCAAAAUACCAUUCGUCAGAACAAAAGAAGUAGGUCAGUGAAACGGCAUUAGUAUAUCCUUCAACAGGCAAAUAAGUGAUAGUGUAGUUUGCUUUUGAAGUCGCUGUGAAAAGUUUUAGGUGAACAUCACCUACACCACAUUAAAAAUGGAAUCAAGUCAUUUUCUUUAAGAAAUGGAGUUUGAGAUAUGAGAAUUCUUUUGGGCUUUUUCUACUUAUUGGCCAAUUAUACACCCAGAUAUAUUUCUGCAAUAUUUCAAAGAUUCUAGUUCUAAUUUGUAUAAUAAAAAAAAUUAACAGCCUUUUCCAGACCACAUGUUUCCAACAAGACCUUCAAAGGCCUCGCUCGCUAUAUAAAACUGGCUUUAAACAAUUUCCUUUCCCAAAGAAGGAAAUAAGAUAUUUCGGUUUUGUAAAAGAGGCAAAACCAGGUACAGGCCACCUUUCCUGCUGGAGAGCUGGCAUAAGUGAGUGGAUUCUUAAUUACUAUUUUACCUGCGGGGCAUAAUU